GACGAACGCUGGCGGCAGGCUUAACACAUGCAAGUCGAACGCCCCGCAAGGGGAGUGGCAGACGGGUGAGUAACACGUGGGAACGUACCCUUUUCUACGGAAUAACCCAGGGAAACUUGGACUAAUACCGUAUGUGCCCUUCGGGGGAAAGAUUUAUCGGAAAAGGAUCGGCCCGCGUUGGAUUAGCUAGUUGGUGGGGUAAAGGCCUACCAAGGCGACGAUCCAUAGCUGGUCUGAGAGGAUGAUCAGCCACAUUGGGACUGAGACACGGCCCAAACUCCUACGGGAGGCAGCAGUGGGGAAUAUUGGACAAUGGGCGCAAGCCUGAUCCAGCCAUGCCGCGUGAGUGAUGAAGGCCUUAGGGUUGUAUAGCUCUUUCACCGGAGAAGAUAAUGACGGUAUCCGGAGAAGAAGCCCCGGCUAACUUCGUGCCAGCCGCCGCAGUAA
Molecule: ribosomal RNA, 447 nt
Filed under: uncultured bacterium
Lineage: Bacteria
Description: partial 16S ribosomal RNA
Rfam family: Bacterial small subunit ribosomal RNA
Source: RNAcentral